GCUGGGCAGUUGGGGGGCGGUUCUCUGGGACCAAGAGCCAAGCUGGGGAGCAGGGAGGAUGCAGAUCCGUCCUUGGCUUCAGGCGUCCCGGGAUGGGCGAUGGCUGGUGCCCAACUGUCAACCUGCCAUCACACGUUGCUAAGUCAAAAUUGUGCCACCAGGCAAGGUGCUUAUGUCCUGUAAGCUGAUGCUGAGGAGCACAGGACCCCUCCUAUCACGUUCUCUGCUCUCGUCACUACCUAGCCAGGCCCUGCUCCUUCUGCUGAGAGCCCUUCCUUCUCAGCUAACCACCCCAGAGAGGAAUCGGAGCACAACUGAGCUGCCACCUGCCUGUCUGGGAUUCGGCGCCUGUCUUAGCUGUCCAAUUGUUGGGGCCCCACUUCUAGGGAGCAUCGGAUGCCCCCCUGGAAUCUACAGCAGUGAUUUUGCUGUGAGCGGGAGGCAUGAGACGCGAUGGGAGAAGAGCCCUGCGGUGUGGGGGAGCAUCUCCCUGAGGCGAACUGGGACCAUUCUCUGUCGCCUUGGCUCAUAGCCAAGAUGAGCGAUGGGAGGAACAAUCUUUCACUGCACAUUAAAAUCAAGUACUGGCCAGCAGAAUCUUCUGAGGUCGUCCUCGUCAUCAUCAUUACCAUCACCACCACCAGCAUCUCUGCUAUCUAUUAGUCAGCAUAAUUCCUCCUGAGUUCCAUGGGAGUUCAGACUGUGUCUUGUUCAUUAAAUCAGCUCUUCCACCCAGCCCAGUGUUUGGUACCUGCUCGAUACCUAAUGAAUAUUAGAUGUUAUAAUAGUUUAUUAAAAAUGAAUGAAUAAAUAAAUGAGGUUUCAAACAAA
Molecule: non-coding RNA, 831 nt
Organism: Equus caballus (horse)
Lineage: Eukaryota; Metazoa; Chordata; Mammalia; Perissodactyla; Equidae
Source: RefSeq, a predicted model, not a curated record